RNAcentral lists this Y RNA (97 nucleotides) under Microcebus murinus (gray mouse lemur). RNAcentral's name for it is "Y RNA (ENSMICG00000045813.1)". It matches the Rfam family "Y RNA". From Rfam's summary of the family: Y RNAs are components of the Ro ribonucleoprotein particle (Ro RNP), in association with Ro60 and La proteins. The Y RNAs and Ro60 and La proteins are well conserved, but the function of the Ro RNP is not known. In humans the RNA component can be one of four small RNAs -- hY1, hY3, hY4 and hY5. Lineage: Eukaryota; Metazoa; Chordata; Mammalia; Primates; Cheirogaleidae. The record is from Rfam by way of RNAcentral.
GGCUGGUCCAAUGGUAAUGGGUUAUCAGAACUUAUUAACAUCAGCAUCACCAAAGUUGGUAUACAACCCCCCCACUGCUAAAUUUGACUGACUUAAA